UGAUGUGAGGGUGAUCUGGCUGUGACAUCUGUCACCCCAUUGAUCGCCAGGGUUGAUUGGGCUGAUCUGGCUGUAUAGGCAGGUGUCCCCUCCUCCCUCAGCACUCCGUGUGUGUCCCUCCUGAAGCCGGGUGCUGGGUUGAAGAGGAUGGCCUUCCCCAAAUAGAGGAGGACCAGUCGUCAGUCUAGGGUAUAUGAGUAGUUGUGCUUCCCUGAUAGAACCUCUAAGCAAGCUCUCAAGUUCCUCAUAGUUUUCUAAAUGUUGUUUUCUGGUGUAGCUUGCACUUCUGUACCAGGUAUUUGCAUCUGUGUUU
Unclassified non-coding RNA from Cricetulus griseus (Chinese hamster), 313 nucleotides. Its record names the gene 7SK. It matches the Rfam family "7SK RNA". Rfam says of the family: 7SK was discovered as an abundant small nuclear RNA in the mid-70s but a possible function has only recently been suggested. Two independent studies have found that 7SK RNA binds the CDK9/cyclin T complex (known as elongation factor P-TEFb). P-TEFb activates transcription by phosphorylating the C-terminal domain of RNA polymerase II. The record is from Ensembl. NCBI's taxonomy places the organism in Eukaryota, Metazoa, Chordata, Mammalia, Rodentia, Cricetidae.